RNAcentral lists this transfer RNA (82 nucleotides) under Candidatus Pinguicoccus supinus. It matches the Rfam family "tRNA". Rfam says of the family: Transfer RNA (tRNA) molecules are approximately 80 nucleotides in length. Their secondary structure includes four short double-helical elements and three loops (D, anti-codon, and T loops). Further hydrogen bonds mediate the characteristic L-shaped molecular structure. tRNAs have two regions of fundamental functional importance: the anti-codon, which is responsible for specific mRNA codon recognition, and the 3' end, to which the tRNAs corresponding amino acid is attached (by aminoacyl-tRNA synthetases). tRNAs cope with the degeneracy of the genetic code in two manners: having more than one tRNA (with a specific anti-codon) for a particular amino acid; and 'wobble' base-pairing, i.e. permitting non-standard base-pairing at the 3rd anti-codon position. The record is from Rfam by way of RNAcentral. Lineage: Bacteria; Pseudomonadati; Verrucomicrobiota.
GGAGAAGUGGCUGAGUGGUUUAAAGCGUCCCCCUGCUAAGGAGAUAAAUUUUAUUUCGUGGGUUCAAAUCCCACCUUCUCCG